AGCGUACACGGUGGAUGCCUAGGCAGUCAGAGGCGAUGAAGGGCGUGCUAAUCUGCGAAAAGCGUCGGUAAGGUGAUAUGAACCGUUACAACCGGCGAUACCCGAAUGGGGAAACCCAGUGUGUUUCGACACACUAUCAUGUCAUGAAUACAUAGUGGCAUGAGGCGAACCGGGGGAACUGAAACAUCUAAGUACCCCGAGGAAAAGAAAUCAACCGAGAUUCCCCCAGUAGCGGCGAGCGAACGGGGAGGAGCCCAGAACCUGAAUCGGCUUGUGUGUUAGUGGAAGCGUCUGGAAAGUCGCGCAGCAAAGGGUGAUAGCCCCGUACACUAAAAUGCACAGGUCGUGAGUUCGAUGAGUAGGGCGGGACACGUGACAUCCUGUCUGAAUAUGGGGGGACCAUCCUCCAAGGCUAAAUACUCCUGACUGACCGAUAGUGAACCAGUACCGUGAGGGAAAGGCGAAAAGAACCCCGGCGAGGGGAGUGAAAUAGAACCUGAAACCGUGUACGUACAAGCAGUGGGAGCACCUUCGUGGUGUGACUGCGUACCUUUUGUAUAAUGGGUCAGCGACUUAUAUUUUGUAGCAAGGUUAACCGUAUAGGGGAGCCGUAGGGAAACCGAGUCUUAACUGGGCGAAUAGUUGCAAGGUAUAGACCCGAAACCCGGUGAUCUAGCCAUGGGCAGGUUGAAGGUUGGGUAACACUAACUGGAGGACCGAACCGACUAAUGUUGAAAAAUUAGCGGAUGACUUGUGGCUGGGGGUGAAAGGCCAAUCAAACCGGGAGAUAGCUGGUUCUCCCCGAAAGCUAUUUAGGUAGCGCCUCGUGAACUCAUCUUCGGGGGUAGAGCACUGUUUCGGCUAGGGGGCCAUCCCGGCUUACCAAACCGAUGCAAACUCCGAAUACCGAAGAAUGUUAUCACGGGAGACACACGGCGGGUGCUAACGUCCGUCGUGAAGAGGGAAACAACCCAGACCGCCAGCUAAGGUCCCAAAGUCAUGGUUAAGUGGGAAACGAUGUGGGAAGGCAUAGACAGCCAGGAUGUUGGCUUAGAAGCAGCCAUCAUUUAAAGAAAGCGUAAUAGCUCACUGGUCGAGUCGGCCUGCGCGGAAGAUGUAACGGGGCUAAACCAUGCACCGAAGCUGCGGCAGCGACGCUUAGGCGUUGUUGGGUAGGGGAGCGUUCUGUAAGCCGUUGAAGGUGGCCUGUGAGGGUUGCUGGAGGUAUCAGAAGUGCGAAUGCUGACAUAAGUAACGAUAAAGCGGGUGAAAAGCCCGCUCGCCGGAAGACCAAGGGUUCCUGUCCAACGUUAAUCGGGGCAGGGUGAGUCGACCCCUAAGGCGAGGCUGAAAAGCGUAGUCGAUGGGAAACAGGUUAAUAUUCCUGUACUUGGUGUUACUGCGAAGGGGGGACGGAGAAGGCUAGGCUAGCCGGGCGACGGUUGUCCCGGUUUAAGCGUGUAGGGGGUGUGACCUGGUAAAUCCGGUUNNNNNNNNNNNNAACCCUGAGGCGUGAUGACGAUGCACUACGGUGCAGAAGUAGUUGAUGCCCUGCUUCCAGGAAAAGCCUCUAAGCUCUAGGUAACAUUAAAUCGUACCCCAAACCGACACAGGUGGUCAGGUAGAGAAUACCAAGGCGCUUGAGAGAACUCGGGUGAAGGAACUAGGCAAAAUGGUGCCGUAACUUCGGGAGAAGGCACGCUGGCAUGUAGGUGAAGUCCCUUGCGGAUGGAGCUGAAGCCAGUCGAAGAUACCAGCUGGCUGCAACUGUUUAAUAAAAACACAGCACUGUGCAAACACGAAAGUGGACGUAUACGGUGUGACGCCUGCCCGGUGCUGGAAGGUUAAUUGAUGGGGUCAGCCGCAAGGCGAAGCUCUUGAUCGAAGCCCCAGUAAACGGCGGCCGUAACUAUAACGGUCCUAAGGUAGCGAAAUUCCUUGUCGGGUAAGUUCCGACCUGCACGAAUGGCGUAAUGAUGGCCAGGCUGUCUCCACCCGAGACUCAGUGAAAUUGAACUCGCUGUGAAGAUGCAGUGUACCCGCGGCAAGACGGAAAGACCCCGUGAACCUUUACUAUAGCUUGACACUGAACAUUGAGCCUUGAUGUGUAGGAUAGGUGGGAGGCUUUGAAGCGUGGACGCCAGUCUGCGUGGAGCCAUCCUUGAAAUACCACCCUUUAAUGUUUGAUGUUCUAACUCGGCCCCGUGAUCCGGGGUGAGGACAGUGUCUGGUGGGUAGUUUGACUGGGGCGGUCUCCUCCCAAAGAGUAACGGAGGAGCACGAAGGUUAGCUAAUCACGGUCGGACAUCGUGAGGUUAGUGCAAAGGCAUAAGCUAGCUUGACUGCGAGAGUGACGGCUCGAGCAGGUACGAAAGUAGGUCUUAGUGAUCCGGUGGUUCUGAAUGGAAGGGCCAUCGCUCAACGGAUAAAAGGUACUCCGGGGAUAACAGGCUGAUACCGCCCAAGAGUUCAUAUCGACGGCGGUGUUUGGCACCUCGAUGUCGGCUCAUCACAUCCUGGGGCUGAAGUAGGUCCCAAGGGUAUGGCUGUUCGCCAUUUAAAGUGGUACGCGAGCUGGGUUUAGAACGUCGUGAGACAGUUCGGUCCCUAUCUGCCGUGGGCGUUGGAAGAUUGAGAGGGGUUGCUCCUAGUACGAGAGGACCGGAGUGAACGCACCACUGGUGUUCGGGUUGUCAUGCCAAUGGCAUUGCCCGGUAGCUAAGUGCGGAAAAGAUAAGCGCUGAAAGCAUCUAAGCGCGAAACUUGCCUCAAGAUGAGUCUUCCCUGGGCCUUUAAGGCCCCUGAAGGAACGUUUAAGACUAAGACGUUGA
RNAcentral lists this ribosomal RNA (2831 nucleotides) under Serratia marcescens. RNAcentral describes it as "bacterial LSU rRNA". It matches the Rfam family "Bacterial large subunit ribosomal RNA". The record is from RNAcentral. Lineage: Bacteria; Pseudomonadati; Pseudomonadota; Gammaproteobacteria; Enterobacterales; Yersiniaceae.